UAUCUCUGUAGAGUCUGCAUAUCAAUAAGCGGAGGAAAAGAAACUAACUAAGGAUUCCCUUAGUAACGGCGAGUGAAGCGGGAAGAGCUCAAAUUUGAAAUCUUCAAGGUUUUACCUUGACGAAUUGUAGUUUAAAGAAGUGUUUUCUGUUAGGUGUUAUUGGUAGCAAAAGUUCUUUGGAAUAGGACAUCAUAGAGGGUGAGAAUCCCGUAUUUGGUACCAUUACUUCCUAGCUUUGUGAUACACUUUCAAAGAGUCGGAUCGUUUGGGAAUGCAGUCCAAAAUGGGUGGUAAAUUUCAUCUAAAGCUAAAUAUUGGCGAGAGACCGAUAGCGAACAAGUACCGUGAGGGAAAGAUGAAAAGAACUUUGAAAAGAGAGUUAAACAGUACGUGAAAUUGUCAAAAGGGAAGCGUUUGACACCAGUGUUGUUUUUCCGAAAAAUCAAUUACGAAUGGCUUGAUUCUGUGUUGUAUUGACCUUAUCAGCUUUCUUGCACUUUUUUUCGAGUCUUUCUUAAUGCACUUUUUCGGUUAACAAGUCAACAUCAAUUUCUUUUGUUGUAAAAGAGUAUUCGGAAGGUGGCUUUCUUUUCGGAGAAAGCGUUUAUAGCCCUAUACUUCUACAAUCGGAGAGAUUGAGGUCUGCAGCGUAGAUCCUUCGGGGUUAGAUACACUUGUGCUAAGUUGUAGCUUUUCAUAGACAACUUGUUGACUAUGUUUAGUCAUUGCGGCUUACUCGCUUGUGCUAUUUUACCUACGCUUAGGAUGUUGACGAGACUGUCGAUCUC
This 788-nucleotide ribosomal RNA is filed under the name uncultured Neocallimastigales. RNAcentral describes it as "partial large subunit ribosomal RNA". It matches the Rfam family "Eukaryotic large subunit ribosomal RNA", at positions 24 to 647 of the family's 3401-position model. Lineage: Eukaryota; Fungi; Neocallimastigomycota; Neocallimastigomycetes; Neocallimastigales. The record is from RNAcentral.